This 253-nucleotide ribosomal RNA is filed under the name uncultured bacterium. RNAcentral's name for it is "partial 16S ribosomal RNA". It matches the Rfam family "Bacterial small subunit ribosomal RNA", at positions 524 to 776 of the family's 1533-position model. The record is from RNAcentral.
UACAGAAGCCUCAAGCGUUACCCGGAUUUAUUGGGCGUAAAGGAUGCGUAGGCGGUUAUAUUAGUCUUGUGUUAAAUCUUUGGGCUCAACCCAAUGUUCGCACAGGAAACGGUAUAACUAGAAGAAGUGAGAGGUGAACAGAACUCUCGGUGUAGGGGUGAAAUCCGUUGAUAUCGAGGGGAAUACCAAAUGCGAAGGCAGUUCACUGGCACUUUCUUGACGCUGAGGCAUGAAAGCGUGGGUAGCGAAUCGG